UAAAAUAGACUUAUCAAGUCCAUUACCAUUUCCAUAAUCUUAUAUUUCCCCAAAAUGCCCAGGAUAAGAUUUAUUUCUAUCAAAACACAGCAUAUUAAAGCAGAAAGAGAACUUCACAAUUAUCUAUCUCUCCCUCCCCAAAUAUGGAUGUUGAAGAACAGGAUGAAGUAGUAAUAUUACAGCUAGUCACAGUAUCAUAGAUUUAGACCUCAAGAAGACUUUACAGAUAAUCAAAUUUUACCCAUCUCAUUUAAUAGAUGAGGAAACUGACUCAGAAAGAGAAGAAAUUUGACUAAGGUCAUACCAUUAGAGAGUACUAAAGCAAGAUAGCAAGAUUUCACCCAAGAUGAAGAAUCAGAGUUGCAGAGAAAUGGAGAGAUUUGAUGAAAGUCAUACAGCAAAUUGGUGCCAGAACUAAAGAAACAUGAUGUUAUGACUUUGACUAUAGGGUCAAUUAACUCUGAAAUUCAGAGUAACUACUCACCUGUACUGGACUGAACAAUUCCAGAGUCCACAGUUUGUCCAAGG
This is a long non-coding RNA of Sarcophilus harrisii (Tasmanian devil), 528 nucleotides long. RefSeq lists it as uncharacterized. Lineage: Eukaryota; Metazoa; Chordata; Mammalia; Dasyuromorphia; Dasyuridae. The transcript is spliced from 3 exons. The record is from RefSeq and is a predicted model, not a curated record.